Molecule: ribosomal RNA, 253 nt
Filed under: uncultured bacterium
Lineage: Bacteria
Description: partial 16S ribosomal RNA
Rfam family: Bacterial small subunit ribosomal RNA
Source: RNAcentral
GACAGAGGUGCCAAGCGUUAGGCGGAAUCACUGGGCUUAAAGCGUGUGUAGGCGGAUUGGUAAGUACCUUGUGAAAUCCCACGGCUCAACCGUGGAACUGCUUGGUAUACUGCUUAUCUUGAGCCACUUAGGGGCCGUCGGAACAAACGGUGGAGCGGUGAAAUGCGUAGAUAUCGUUUGGAACGCCAACGGUGAAAACAGACAGCUGGGAGUGUACUGACGCUGAGACACGAAAGCCAGGGGAGCGAACGGG